CUCUGUGACUCCUACGGGAGGCAGCAGUGGGAAUAUUGCACAAUGGGCGCAAGCCUGAUGCAGCCAUGCCGCGUGUGUGAAGAAGGCCUUCGGGUUGUAAAGCACUUUCAGUUGUGAGGAAGGUGGUGUCGUUAAUAGCGGCAUCAUUUGACGUUAGCAACAGAAGAAGCACCGGCUAACUCCGUGCCAGCAGCCGCGGUAAUACGGAGGGUGCGAGCGUUAAUCGGAAUUACUGGGCGUAAAGCGCAUGCAGGCGGCCUGUUAAGUCAGAUGUGAAAGCCCCGGGGCUUAACCUCGGAAUUGCAUUUGAAACUGGCAGGCUAGAGUCUUGUAGAGGGGGUAGAAUUUCAGGUGUAGCGGUGAAAUGCGUAGAGAUCUGAAGGAAUACCAGUGGCGAAGGCGGCCCCCUGGACAAAGACUGACGCUCAGAUGCGAAAGCGUGGGGAGCAAACAGGAUUAGAUACCCUGGUAG
This 472-nucleotide ribosomal RNA is filed under the name uncultured bacterium. Its description in RNAcentral is "bacterial SSU rRNA". It matches the Rfam family "Bacterial small subunit ribosomal RNA", at positions 328 to 793 of the family's 1533-position model. The record is from RNAcentral.